UCUAAUAUGGCAGAAUAGUGCAUUAGAUUUAAGCUCUAAAUAUAAAGUAACCUUUUGUUAGAA
Molecule: transfer RNA, 63 nt
Filed under: Orophyllus montanus
Lineage: Eukaryota; Metazoa; Arthropoda; Insecta; Orthoptera; Tettigoniidae
Description: tRNA-Leu
Rfam family: tRNA
About the family: Transfer RNA (tRNA) molecules are approximately 80 nucleotides in length. Their secondary structure includes four short double-helical elements and three loops (D, anti-codon, and T loops). Further hydrogen bonds mediate the characteristic L-shaped molecular structure. tRNAs have two regions of fundamental functional importance: the anti-codon, which is responsible for specific mRNA codon recognition, and the 3' end, to which the tRNAs corresponding amino acid is attached (by aminoacyl-tRNA synthetases). tRNAs cope with the degeneracy of the genetic code in two manners: having more than one tRNA (with a specific anti-codon) for a particular amino acid; and 'wobble' base-pairing, i.e. permitting non-standard base-pairing at the 3rd anti-codon position.
Source: RNAcentral